Long non-coding RNA from Brassica oleracea var. oleracea, 577 nucleotides. RefSeq lists it as uncharacterized. Lineage: Eukaryota; Viridiplantae; Streptophyta; Magnoliopsida; Brassicales; Brassicaceae. The record is from RefSeq and is a predicted model, not a curated record. The transcript is spliced from 3 exons.
CCUCCCUUAUUUUACUUAUCUCUCUCUUCAUACCUUCUUCUUCCUCCUCUCUUAUCGUUAUCUUCUUCUCCAUUGCUUCAUUGAUCCAUGACUUUCCUUUGUGGUUUCCAUCACCGUGCUGUCCAAUUAACCGUGAGCCAUGCCACUGGAGCCAGCGCCUUCACCGAAGGAGUGGCUCGUGUUACUAGAGAUCCGUUGUUACCGUGGAGAAGAUAUGUACGAGCUGGAGCUGUCGCAUCUUGACGCCACCGGCACGCAUCAACACCACCAAGCACCACGACCGGAGCCGUUUCAGUCUGACCAGCCGUGAUCCCAACCGUGAGUCACCGGAGAGAUCCGCCAUUACGAUUCCAAGCCGUGAAGGAAAGAAUUAAAGACCUUAUGGGUGAUUUGUUUGCCAAGUCAUUCUCUCUAAAGCCUAGACGUUUGACGAGGCAUAUCAGUUCCCGAGUAUUAUCCGAUGAAUCUCUAAUAUUGGCUAAGGUGAGCUUGCCGAGUAGUUGGAUAUCUGGACGGUUCGGUGUCUUUGGGAUAAUUGUAUUUAUUUCGGUUUUAAUUAAUAAUGUAUACAAAUUUU